This 616-nucleotide ribosomal RNA is filed under the name uncultured fungus. Its description in RNAcentral is "eukaryotic LSU rRNA". The stretch from base 253 to 406 matches the Rfam family "5.8S ribosomal RNA". Lineage: Eukaryota; Fungi. The record is from RNAcentral.
UGACCGGAUCCAGCCGUUCGUCCGGCUGCACCAACAGUUCCGUAGGUGAACCUGCGGAAGGAUCAUUAAAGAGUUAUGAGAAGCCUGCCUUUAAAAGCAUGGCCAUCAUCUCCCACCCAUUGUAAACCUUACCAUUGUUGCUUUGGCAGACCAGCGGGUUCCACCCGCCGCCGGCUUCGGCUGGCGAGAGUUUGCCAGAGUCUAUUCAAACUCGUUUAAUUAGUGAUGUCUGAGAAAAAAUUAAUAGCAAAAAACUUUCAACAACGGAUCUCUUGGUUCUGGCAUCGAUGAAGAACGCAGCGAAAUGCGAUAAGUAAUGUGAAUUGCAGAAUUCAGUGAAUCAUCGAAUCUUUGAACGCACAUUGCGCCCUCUGGUAUUCCGGGGGGCAUGCCUGUUCGAGCGUCAUUACACCUCUCAAGCUCAGCUUGGUAUUGGGUGCCGUCCCCCGGGGCGCAUCUGGAAAUUAGCGGCGGUGCGGCCGGUGAUCAAGCGUAGUAACUACUCCCGCUUUGAGACACCCGGGCGUGCCAGCCGGAUAACACCCAAAUUUUUCAAUGGUUGACCUCGGAUCAGGUAGGGAUACCCGCUGAACUUAAGCAUAUCAAUAAGCGGAGA